GAUGAACGCUGGCGGCGUGCUUAACACAUGCAAGUCGAACGAAGCACUUUAUUUGAUUUCCUUCGGGACUGAUUAUUUUGUGACUGAGUGGCGGACGGGUGAGUAACUCGUGGGUAACCUGCCUUGUACAGGGGGAUAACAGUUGGAAACGGCUGCUAAUACCGCAUAAGCGCCCGGCAUCGCAUGAUGCAGUGUGAAAAACUCCGGUGGUAUAAGAUGUACCCGCGUUGGAUUAGCUAGUUGGGGAGGUAACGGCCCACCAAGGCGACGUUCCAUAGCCGACCAGAGAGGGUGACCGGCGACAUUGAGAGUGAGACGCGGCCCAAAAUCCUACGGGAGGCAGCAGUGGGGAAUAUUGCAAAAUGGGCGAAAGCCUGAUGCAGCGACGCCGCGUGAGCGAAGAAGUAUUUCGGUAUGUAAAGCUCUAUCAGCAGGGAAGAUAAUGACGGUACCUGACUAAGAAGCACCGGCUAAAUACGUG
Molecule: ribosomal RNA, 481 nt
Filed under: uncultured bacterium
Lineage: Bacteria
Description: partial 16S ribosomal RNA
Rfam family: Bacterial small subunit ribosomal RNA
Source: RNAcentral